AAUAAGUAUACUUUUAGCAUUAUUUAUGUUUAACGUUUGACCAUUUGUCUUAUUUAGAUGAUAAAACAUGAAUAGUACUUUAUGUGUGACUAAUUUUUUCAAUAUUUUUUAUAAAUUUUUCAAAUAAGACGGAUGGUCAAAGCGCUAAACACAGAUAUCUAUGGCUGCACUUAUU
MicroRNA precursor from Oryza sativa Indica Group (long-grained rice), 175 nucleotides. It matches the Rfam family "MIR812 microRNA precursor family". The record is from Rfam. NCBI's taxonomy places the organism in Eukaryota, Viridiplantae, Streptophyta, Magnoliopsida, Poales, Poaceae.